This 1491-nucleotide long non-coding RNA is filed under the name Anser brachyrhynchus (Pink-footed goose). RNAcentral's name for it is "lncRNA (ENSABRG00000004019.1)". Lineage: Eukaryota; Metazoa; Chordata; Aves; Anseriformes; Anatidae. The record is from RNAcentral.
AUGCAGGCGGCCCCCCCAGCAGGCGAGGACUUGGGGGGGGUCCUGAGGCCGCGCAGAACUCGGCUCGCCCCCGAGCACGCGGCGACGGAGGAACGGCACCGGGGAGGGCGCAGUGCCGUGGGUCCCAUCCUGCCCCCCGCAGCCCCUCGGCAGCGCCCGCCUGGGAACUCCCCAGCCCUGCUCCUUGCACCCGGGGGCCAGCGCCGUGACUCAGCCCCGCUGGGCACCGCUCCCGGCUCCGGCACCGGCCCGGCCGGGCAGAAAAUCCCCCCGCUGGGAGCCAGCACGGAGGGGAUCGACUGCAGCCGUGUUUUGGGGACCGCGGGGUUCUGCCGCCGGUCGUCGCUCGCGCCUGUGCUGGGAGCUCCCGCACGGCCACGCGGGCACCGGGCCGGCCCGGCCACCCCACAGCCGCUCGUGUCCUGCUCCCCCCCCCGAGCCGAGCUGGCCUGGACAGGGAAACUGAGGCACGGGAGGCGGCGGGGCCGUGCGGGUGGGUGUGGGCGCUCGCAGCACCCCGGGACUCCCCCAAACGGGGCUGGGAAGGAGGCGCACGGCCGGAGGAAGGGGUUAAAAGCGAAGCGAGCUGCGUUUUGUUCUGAUCCCCUGCCAAACCGCGGGGGCCGGGAAGCCCGGGGCGGGAUGGGGUGGGGGGGGGGGAGCUCGGGGGCUUUUUGCCAGGGCAGCCCCGGCCCUAAACCCACCGGGGUCACGGCAGCGCCGAGCCCGCCAGGUCUCAGCGACGACCGCAGUGACGGGCACCGGUGGGACCCGGGGGGGGGGCCGCGGGGCAGAGCAGGGCGUGAGCCCCCCCCCCCAGGGCCGCUCUUCGCCCCCGCGCCGGGCCCGGCGCAGAUGGGAAUGUGCUGGGAAGACGGAAAGUUUCCCCCGGCGGCGAGCGGGGCCGCGGGAGCGCUCCGGCCACAUCUGCUCGGGCCGAGCCGCGUUCUGGGCGCCCGCCCGGAGCGGGGCGCGGGGCCACGGGCGCCCGACCAAGGCAGCGCUGCCGGGAAAGGGAGGGGGUCCCCAGCCCCGCUCCCACGCAGCAUCCUCCCUGCCUCCCUCCCUGCCUCCCUCCCUGCCUCCCUCUCCGGGAAGGCCCCGGCUCUUCCCGCGCCCCACGGUCCCGCUGCUCCCAACCCCUGCCGUGCCCCCUCCCUGGGCCACCCCCCGCGAUUUGGGGGGCUCCUUUUUAAGCACCCUGCUCCAGCCUCCCCCCCCCACCCCGGGGACGCGCGACGGGGACACGGAGCAGCCAGUGAGUGGCUGGGGUUGGGAAGAGGGGCGAUGGCCCCCCAGCCACGCUGCGGUCCCCGCUGCGGCCCGGGCACGCGGCCCAGGCCAGGCACGGGUCCCCACGUCACCACGGCCGUCCCCAGGGCUGUCCCGGGAGGGGCGGCCGCGCAGGGGGGGGAGGCGGGCGGCCGGGACGUGCGCGGGGCGCUGGGUAGAGUUACUGCCUCGGCUAUUUCGGGGCUGGAACAUUCCUAG